RNAcentral lists this non-coding RNA (29 nucleotides) under Cricetulus griseus (Chinese hamster). The record is from RNAcentral. Lineage: Eukaryota; Metazoa; Chordata; Mammalia; Rodentia; Cricetidae.
UCUCAUUUUUUUCUCUGUUCUUAUUUCAG